UACAUAAAAAUAUUGGAGUAUUGGAGUACAAAUUAUAAUUUUUUAGUUUGAUCCUAUAUAAUAUCUUUGAUUAUCCAAAUUUUGAUAUAAUCUAUCAUUUAUAAGUUGUCUCGCACAUAAUUGUCAAUUAAUCAUUAAUAUCUUUCAACUUUAACAAGUAUUAAGAUUAUUGUUCUGCUUAUUAGUUAUAUUGCAGAACAUAGAGUCCUAUGAUUUAUAAAAAUAAUUAUUCUACCAUUUGAUCACGAUGUUUAUGUUGCAGAACAUAAUGUGCAGGUUGUCAAAUCUUUACAAAUAUUAUUGGACAAAAAAAAUUGAAAUUUAGAUGACUAGAUUACAUUUUAUCAAACUUUGUACUCCAUAGAACUUAACUCAUAAAUAUAAUAUAAUUUUUUUUUUUUUGGUAGGUGUAGUUUCCUACAAAGGGCACCACGAGGGAUGAAACAUGUUACUCCCUCCGUUUCAAAUUAGAUGUCCAUUUUAAAAAAAUCACACAGUUUAAGAAAAGUGGAUGUUCACAAAUUAAUUGCAUUAAAUGAUCAAAAUAUGUGGAGUGAGAUUGAUCUAGUAAUAUAAAUAAGAGAUAUGUGGAGUAUAAUUGACUUUGAAAAUAUGUUUUUGCAUUGAAAGUUGAAGUGGACAAGUAAUUUGAAAUAAUUUUUUUUGUAAAAGUGGACAUGUAAAUUGAAACGGAGGGAGUACCUUGCAUAUUCAAUAAUUAUUUACAUAUUUAUUACAUUUUAUAAAAGACAUAGAAGUCUGCCUAGGAUUGUGUAAUUACGUGAAUAAUGGAAUUAAUGAUGCAAAAAGAAGUUAUUAUACAAAUAUACAUAUACACGGAUAUGAUCAAAUAAAAACUUUUUUAAGUUACAAAUUUACAAACUUUUUUUUUGAAUUUAUUUUAUUCUCCUAUCGUGUUAUUCCUUAGUUAUAGAAAGUAUCUAUGUUGAAAAUUUUUGAAAAAACAUCACAAUUUUUAAAAAUAACGCAUAAAAAGUCGUGCAUUCAACACAUUUGUAACUAGGGUUCAACAUCGGGUAUAGAACACUAACUAUCAUUAUGUUGAAUAUAUCUAUAAAGAUGCUUAAACUAUACCUCUCGGAUUUGGUAGGGUCUAGAAACAUAAAUAUUAGUUAUAUAAUACGUUUAACUUAGUUCUUACAUUAAAAAAUUAGUUUAUGUACUUCUCCAACAUAAUUUUAAUCGAUGUUCAACAAAAUAUGUUAAAAAAAUGUUGAACUCAAAUUAUAUAUAUGUGUUGAACGCAUAAACUUUAUAAGUUUAUAAGUUUGUAUCAGAACCCACCCCUAUAUAUAUAUGUGUGUGUGUGUGUAUAUGUAUAUGUAUAUACUGUAUAUAUAUAUAUAUAUAAAACAUAUAUCAUCUUUAUUUUCAAAAAAAAACAUAUAUCAUCUUCUUCAAUAAUCCUACAUUGAUCAAGCAAUUGUGACCUAAAAUUAUCACUACAACAAGACAGGGUAUUUACGAUGGAAAUUAAGCCUAAAAUCCGUUGUAAGUUCCAAGUUUACGAUGGAAUAAUUCUAUCGUUUUUGCUCAAGUAGUAAGUUCGAAAAAACGUCAUAAUUUUUCACAUGCGUCGUAAGUAUGGUCAAGCGUCGUAAGUUUAUCUGGUGGGACCCACAAUUUCACUAAAAUAAUAGCUAAACUUACGACACAUUAAAUCCGUCGUAAGUUUCCAAUUUAUGACGGAACUUUCCGUCGUAACAUAACUACCGACGAAGUCUAUUAUGAACGUUUGUCGCAAGUUCUGGUGAAAACAUGUUAUCUUAAUAAUUUUGAAAUGUGGCUGGUAACAUCCGUACGGUCGGAUCGUCCAAAAUAAUUUUUAAAUGUGGCUGGUGGUAUUAAAUAUGGUUGGUGAAUUUAUGACGGAAUUCGUCGCAAGUUUGUAUGAAAAAAUUGGCUUUUCAGACCCGCACUUAUUUCAAUUUUUAACUUUAAAAAUAUUAAAAUAACGAACUUACGACGGAAGACAACAUGCCGUCGUAAGUUACUAAUGUAAAAACGACACCGUUCUCAUAACUAGAAUUUUUUUAUUUAUUCUUUCAAUUUAAAAAAAAUGACAAAAUAACGAACUUACGACGGAGACCGGAUUUCGUCGUAAGUUACUAAUAUAAAAACGACACCAUAUUAAUAAUCGGAAUUUUUUGAUUUUUUUCCAAUUUAAAAAAUAUUAUAAUAAGUAACUUACGACGGAGUUGGAAAUUUGUCGUAAUAACUUACGACGGAUUGGACUCUCACAGAUUGACAGUUUCCACUAUAAGUUAUCACUACUCAGUGAGUAUUUGCUGCCACCAUAUACCUCAUCUCAUUACUUACUAUUAUCGUGUCCAAAACAAUUAAACUAUAUGAAUUAGAAAUAUGAAAUUAUAACUUACAUGCACAUAAUUGUCAAUUAAUCAUUAAUAUCUUUCAACUUUAACAAGUAUUAAGAUUAUUGUUCUGCUUAUUAGUUAUAUUGCAGAACAUAGAGUCCUAUGAUUUAUAAAAAUAAUUAUUCUACCAUUUGAUCACGAUGUUUAUGUUGCAGAACAUAAUGUGCAGGUUGUCAAAUCUUUACAAAUAUUAUUGGACAAAAAAAAUUGAAAUUUAGAUGACU
This 2620-nucleotide long non-coding RNA is filed under the name Daucus carota (carrot). Its description in RNAcentral is "long non-coding RNA (DCAR_LNC002276)". Lineage: Eukaryota; Viridiplantae; Streptophyta; Magnoliopsida; Apiales; Apiaceae. The record is from RNAcentral.